RNAcentral lists this long non-coding RNA (2525 nucleotides) under Sorghum bicolor (sorghum). Its description in RNAcentral is "long non-coding RNA (SBIC_LNC014111)". The record is from RNAcentral. Lineage: Eukaryota; Viridiplantae; Streptophyta; Magnoliopsida; Poales; Poaceae.
GGCACUAUAUUAUCUAUUGCAACGGUUCUGUUUUUAAUAAAUCAUUGUUGCAAACACAAUAGACCAUAUCAAAUGACAUUGCACUCACAUAUAUUAAUUUAUACUCAAUCAUUAUCCAAUAGUCCGACAAAUGAUUCAAAUAGUAGUUAAAAUGACAAAUGAAGUUCUCUCAUUAUUCCAAAAAUUUUAAAAAUUUUCAACUAGACUAGACUUCCUAACAUCUAUGCAGCCCGUGAGAUGAGUUUUCUUUCAGCGCCACAUGUCAUCAUCUCACCAAUGUUGUUGCUUGACGAGCCUCCCUCUGAAAUCUUGUAUACCUACUGCCAAAAGAGUAAGAUUAAGAUAUUAGAAAACCUCUAUGUUUAGUACUUCAUGCCCAAAAUAUAAAUUCAGAACUUAGGAAAUUAUAUAUGCAUGUGAGACAAGAAAAAAUUAAGAAUAUGCUCAAGUACAGCUCUAGACCAAAUGUGUAGUGGACUAUAAAAUUAUAAUUACUUGUCUAGACAAUGGAAAUUACAAAAACUACCACAUUCUGCAUAUAUUUCCCAUGAGGUGGCAAUGAUUUUCUGUAGACAAAGAAAAUCAUAAUUACUCCACCGACAAAAAUAAUUAUGUGGUUACUAACAAUAUUCCCUAUUGAUUUUUGAAAAUCCAGAAUUGGUUGUUCAGUUGUUCUGGGUUAUUACUGUUGUGUAGCACAAAGUACAGAAAGAAAGUAGAUCAGUUCUCCCUGAAUCUUGUAGCUUCUUUCAGUUAACUCUAACAGGAAACUAUUAAAAAAAAGAACAGCUACCCCUACUUCCUACAUCUUCUGCUUCCUUUUCCACAUCCUCUGCAAAAGAAACCUGGCCAGCAACCACCCUGGUUAAAAAAGUUAGGUGAUUCAAAUUGAUCUCCAGUAGUUUGUAUGUUGCAUAUUUACACUGAUUUUUUACACAUGAUUAGUUUUCAGAUGUUUGUUUUGAUUAAAAAAGAAAUCACUCUGUAGCCAUUCUAAUACAAAGAUAGCAAGAUAGUGAAAACAGGACGUGACAGAGCCAAAACGAUCACCUAAUGUAUGUGAAAGGUGCAACUUUUAUUCAUAACAAUUCUUGUGGAGGUCAGCUUCACAAUUGCAUCUUAAACCUAAGCCAUUAACUGCUAGUAAUAUAAAUUUUACAAUGUAGUAGUACUCAAUCAUUUAAGCACUUCAUAUGAGACAAAAAGAUUAGCAAACUAGAAAGAAUCUGCACACUGACUGUACGACCUGGAAGUGCUUUCUGAUGUGGAGUUCACCAAAUCCCAUUUUCCUGUAUGAGCAUUGAGAUUGCCUUUCCCGUGAACGACAUAAACCAAGACAUCUACAACUAUAAGAUAGAAUGACAUACUAGCAGGGCAGGUUACCAGCAGUCUAGCAGUUAAUAAAUGCAACGACUAUCUAUUACUAGCAGUCUUUCAUAUGAGAAAGAAUAUGUUUUGCAAGAGCUACAUAAAUUAACUUAGAAUUCAAUCCCAAAUUAGUAAGAUCUGGAGAAUAAAGAUGCCUAAUAACAUGAGCUUCAUAUUCAUUCACGAAUCUUCACAUUUACAGAACAUAGAUAGCUAAUAUAAUCUUAACAUACCUAAUUUAAUCUUAACAUAGGCUCACCUUGUGCCAUGUAGCGAAGGUGACCCACCUCAUUGGAUCCAGAUCAUUUGUUAAUGUGUCAGUUAUUAAAGGCAAUAUUUUCCUUUUCUUGUGGGAGUGUGUGGUGUGUGUUUUAUACACGGUUUUUGCACUUUUUUCAACUUAUAUGUGUUCCACACAAAAAUGGGAUAAUAACAGAUUAAAUGAAAACAGUUAAACAACAGCAGUUAAAGCCGAGACUCAUCUCCACAAAUUGCCGCUAUGCAAGAUAACUUGCUAAACCUGACAGAUCAUAAGCCAAUCCUCUGUCAGGAACCCAGGACAACACCUUCUAACCCAAAAUACAUUAGACAGAGGAUUAAAAAUCCGAGGAGGCACUCACAUCGACGAUGGCACCCGCUGCCUGGGUUAGCACCGGAGAGAUGUCCAGCAGAUCACGCCUGCACAGCAGAAGAAAAACAGAAAAGUUAAGGAAUGGAGAAGUAAGGACCGAUUGAGAUAGGGUCUAGGGCAACUACAGAUGGAGAUUAUGGGGCGCCUCCUGCGGGAGCGAGACGGAUUGAAGGUAGUCCUCCAGGUUCGGGCGGUCUAGCUCCAUGUCCGCCGCCACAGACGAGCUCGCCAUCGCCUCCGGCCUCUGGCCGCCGGCCGCACGCCCGCCGCCGGUGAGAUGGCGUUGACGCAGAGGAAAAGCUAUGCGAUGGGGAGAGGCUCACCACGUGGAUGGGCGUAACGACCCGCGCGAAGCCGCCUGCCGGAUGCUCUUGCCGCCGGCCACCGCCUCGAGCAGAAGCGCCGUGCCACUAGUGCGUGAAUGAGAUUGGACACUAGGAAGACAAGCUAGGGUUUGGUGUUUUUAUAUGCAGAAGGUGGAUGUCAGAUCAUUUCAUCCAUCAGAUCGAGAAUCAACGGUUAUAAC